This is a long non-coding RNA of Pipra filicauda (Wire-tailed manakin), 473 nucleotides long. RefSeq lists it as uncharacterized. The transcript is spliced from 2 exons. NCBI's taxonomy places the organism in Eukaryota, Metazoa, Chordata, Aves, Passeriformes, Pipridae. The record is from RefSeq and is a predicted model, not a curated record.
CGGUUUGGAGCCGGGCGUUGCUUUUCGGCCUGGGAGGUGUCCAGCCUGCCCUGCUGCCCCUCCGGGCAGCCCGGACCACCUCCGGCCCCCGCCCGCCCUCGGCGCUUCUCCCGCAGGCGCCGUCCCCGGUGUCACUCGCACCCACGGCAGCGGCCAGAGCGGGGACACCCCUGAGCAGCCCGUUCCCCCGGGCCGGCCGCUCUCACCUGUUCUGGGGCCGGAUGCCCAGCAGCUGCUGCAUCACGCGCCACAAGCACAUCACUGGUGGCAUCGCAUCCCUCCAGCCCUGGAAUGAUGGAUAGAGCAGAUUCACUGUGGAUCACUGCCUGCCCACAGCUGCACAGCAGUGACUGCUGCAGGAGCAGGGAGAUGAUGGCAAUUGCUCCAGACUGUGAAAGAGAACAGGAUUUGAGCUGAUCCUCCUGGGGCAGGAGAGGCAGCAGAUGCAACAACAAUCGGGGGCAUGUGAUGGA